RNAcentral lists this ribosomal RNA (254 nucleotides) under uncultured bacterium. Its description in RNAcentral is "partial 16S ribosomal RNA". It matches the Rfam family "Bacterial small subunit ribosomal RNA", at positions 524 to 776 of the family's 1533-position model. The record is from RNAcentral.
UACGUAGGGGCCAAGCGUUGUCCGGAUUUAUUGGGCGUAAAGAGCUCGUAGGCGGUUCGGCAAGUCAGCUGUGAAAUCUCCACGCUCAACGUGGAGGGGUCAGCUGAUACUGCUGUGACUCGAGUCCGGUAGGGGAGUGUGGAAUUCCAUGUGUAGCGGUGAAAUGCGUAGAUAUCGAGAGGAACACCUGCGGCGAAGGCGGGUUGCUGGGCUGACACUGACGCUGAUGCGCGAAAGCUAGGGGAGCGAACGGG